Non-coding RNA from Phoenix dactylifera (date palm), 2495 nucleotides. NCBI's taxonomy places the organism in Eukaryota, Viridiplantae, Streptophyta, Magnoliopsida, Arecales, Arecaceae. The record is from RefSeq and is a predicted model, not a curated record.
GACAAGUAGGUAAAAAAUGGGGAAAAAAAUGGACUUCAUGUAUCUUGAGAGUAGUUGACCCUGUAAUUUGUUCUUAUACAUUCUUGUUGAAAACCAAGGAUUUCUCUACAGACAAUGCAGAGGCCUCUAGUCUUAUUAGACAAAUUUGGUUAAUGUCCACAAUCUUGAUUUCACUUGCUUGGUUUUCUCCUUGAGCUGGAAAUCCCUGAAAACUCCCCUGAAGUCUUCUUUUGGAGGAGUAAAAAUUCUAUCUUUAACCACAACAAUUCCUUUGAUGGUUUUUUACUUUGUUUCAACCAACAGAGGACUGAUCCUUGAAUGAUCAGAGUCUGUAAUGGAUGUAAUAGAUUUAUGUGUUGACUGUUGUCAAGGCCACUAAAGACUGAUUUUAGGUAUGAGCCCGUGAACCUUUAUAGGUACUGUACGGUUAAAAGGUUAUUGACCAUUUUUAAGGACAAACAUUGAGAAAAAUUUUAAGUUGUGCAGGAAAAGAAAAUGUUAGUAUCAGGAAAAAAAAGUCCAGCAGCUGAGAAGCAGAUAGCAAUAAUUUUGUUACCCAAAAAGUGGAGGUGGCAAAGAGAACUUUUAUUAACUUGUCAAAAGAAGGCCAUGAGGACCACUUCUUAUGAAGCCUUGUGACAUACUAGUGGUUACUGUCCUCCAGUUGCGCCUUCCAGAAGAUCUUUAUCAAAGAAAUGCUGUUUUUGAGAAAAUGCUAUUUAGUUUUCAAUUAGAGUUAUAUUAUAGUUAAGAAUGGUGAAGCAUCUUGGUUAGAAUUGUCUCAACAGUAUAGCCUGCACUAGCACAGUGAUUUAGGCUCAUGCCAUGCGAAUCCCCUUCUAUCUCUGGGUCUCUUUUUUGUUUUCCUAGUAUGAGAGAUCCUAUUUGUAUCUAGAACUAGGAAAGACAUUAUCCAUGCAGUUAUUCUGGUUCUUGAUCCAUCAUAGGCAAUUUGUAUGCCUCAAAAUUUAGAAAGCACACAAAGUUGACAUAGGUGGAACAAUUGACUUGGUGCCUCUAACUGAAUGAAGCCACAUAGGCCGAACAGCUUCCUUGUGUUUUAGAAAAUAACAGCAAACCUCUAGGUUUUUUUAAUAUAAAAAAAACUUAAAAUGAUGCUAUAUCAGUUCAAAUAUCCACGUAUUAGUUUGAUACCAAAUGUCACUACUUCCUGUUAGAUGAAACACUGUUAACAUGUGCAUGUGUUAAUAUUGCAGAAAUGAGGAAAUAGGUCCUAAGGACUAUGGGGAUAUAUGCUAAUGGGAUGUGCCUUGACAAUAUCACAGAGUUUUUGAAUGCUGGUAUCCUAGUUAUCUUGGCAAACAAAUAUCAAGAUGAACAAGUAUGCAAGUAUAUUGGUUUAUCUCAGUUGAAAUGACAGUUUUGAGGAUUUUUCAGAUGUAUCAGUAGUAUUACAAGAACAAUAGCAUGGGUUCGAAUCCUUGGACAGCCACAUCAUGCAAAAAAAAAAAAAAAAAAAAAAUCAAAGGAAUCAAUGAUUAGGAUUUCUCCCAGUUCACCCCUUCUAGAACCGCAGAUCGUUGGGAUCAUAACUGGGUAAUGUAGUUUAUCAGUAGUUCUACAAUAUAUCAGCUAUAGCAUGUCAAGCCAUUAUGGAAAUAUUGGCUGUUUCAGAGUAGAAGAGUGAGACUAUUACAGCCACAUAACAAUACAAGUAUCAUGAAAUUAUAGAAUGGACAAAAUAUGUUAGCCAUGGGUUUGUUUCUAAUAUUUAGCUACUAUAAGGAGUUUAUUUAUGAAUAAUUUUGUUGUUGUGACGAGUUCUCUUUUUCUAAUAUUUUUUGGAAGAUGUUGUGAUCUCCUGCUCUAUUUGGUUGUUUUGCCUUCAGGUGAAAGAGAGGAUUGUUUUCCCUGAACUUUGUCUUGUUGGAGUUGAUGUUUGAACGAAGCGAAUACACUUGGUCACUCUUCUUCAUUCCCAAAGAGGAUCAUCGAGUUCCUCAGUAAAAUAUAACAUCGACGCUCGUACAAAAUUUCUUUGUUCGACAUUUCCUUUCGCUGGUCGUGCUAUAUCAAAUCCUGAGUUCAGGAGGCUCAGCUCUCUAUUUUGACAUGGAAAUCAAUAAGAAAUCUCCCAAAGCCAUCUGUAAACCAGAAUCUUUUCCAUUAUUCCAGUCUUUCCACAUAAUUUGAAGAAUGGAAAAACUGGAGUUAAAAAAUAUAAAACGGUCAGUGAAAAGGUAAUAAGCUAUCUUCCAAACAAUUUUGAUAGAAAGAAUAUAAAGUUUCACAGAAAAAAAUAAGGAAAAGAUGGGGUGAAAGGAGAGAAAGAGGCCAUGUUCCCUAGGAAUGUGGUGCGAGAAAAGAGAACCUUUAUCACAAAGUUCUCAUAGGCCUGAACAUUGACCACUUCAUAAUGGGCUUUGAAUGCCUUGCAGUGUGACCAGCACAAACAAUAAAAAUAAUUGAAAGGCAUCGAUAUGGCGAGACCCACAUGAAUGGCAGGUGACUAGUGGGUCCUUCCUAUGUGCAGG